This is an RNA transcript of Passer montanus (Eurasian tree sparrow), 1264 nucleotides long. It is a transcript of the gene named gem nuclear organelle associated protein 6, with no coding region annotated. NCBI's taxonomy places the organism in Eukaryota, Metazoa, Chordata, Aves, Passeriformes, Passeridae. The record is from RefSeq and is a predicted model, not a curated record. The transcript is spliced from 4 exons.
CUAAUAGACGAGCUGUGGCUGAAAGGCAGCAGUAGCUGAAUGCAGAGGCACAAGCCAUUCACACACAAUCGCUGAGUUGAGAUUCCCAAAGAGAAAGGAAAAAAAGGAAGUAGCUCCUUUGAGCCUGCAAAGUAUGACUGUCUCAUUUUAUACCCUUUAUAUUUUUUUUGUGUUAGCAGUCACGAAACCGUUGCAUGCUCGCCUUCACAAAUUCCCAACAAAUCACGGAAUCCAUGACUAGCAGCUUGUUUGGCUCAUCCAUGAGUGCUGCUGAAAUGGAGCAGGAGUGGGUGCUGGAAUCGAGCUUCCCGCCUUCACGGCGGCACGGCAAGCCUUGCCAAAAGCAGCUCGAGAAGCAGGGAACAAAACCACCGUAUUUUUAUGCAGCAGAUGCACAGAGCGUGCGUCUGUCCCUGUUAAAGCACACGGACGAGGCACGGCCUGGCGCGUGCGAGCUGUGCCAGCAGGAGCACCCCGGGAGCAAAUCCAGCUCCAGAGGGGCCACACGCCCCCCGACUCCUUGUUUUGCGACCUGGCCUGACGCGUGCCGAGCUCUGUGUCGUUUCCGUGCCGCAUGGGAGCAUUGGGUCCUGGAUGUAGGAAAUAUGAAUGACUGGCAGAGAAAAAGCCCUCUAGACUGGGAAACGUAUGUGAACAAGUUGGUGAAAGUUGUUGCAGUUGAGAAAUAUGAAUACGAAGGAUGGCUUUUAACAGUUGACCCAGUUUCUGCCACCAUUGUCCUCGCAACAUUCCCAGAGAACGAGAAAGGAUCCUUGUCAUUCAUCAUGGGCCACGCUGUCCAAGAGGUGGAGAUCCUGCAGGAAGGGGACAGUGACAUGAAGCAGCGCCUCGCUCGCAUCCUUGCGCCCGAGGAAAGCCAAGCCUACAGCGCGGAGGAGCUGGAGAAGAGGAAGAACGCCUUGAAGACGUGGCUGGAGACAAACCACAUCCCUGUGGGCGAGCAGGGCGAGCUGGGCAGGACGCUGAGCGUGGCGGGCGUGCUGACCAUCGAGCCCCCGUACGGCCCCGAGCAGUGCAGCAGCACCAACGAGAUCAUCCUGUGCCGCGUGCAGGGCCUGCUGCAGCGCUUCCUGCAGCAGCAGCAAAGCUGAGGGCUGCUGCAGCGCUACCUGCAGCAACAGCACUGAGGGCUGCUGCAAUGCUACCUGCAGCAACAGCACUGAGGGCUGCUGCAGCGCUACCUGCAGCAGCAGUGCUGCUGAGGACUUCCAUCUCCUGGAGCUCUCCUGCUUUAGGAACUGUC